Molecule: non-coding RNA, 883 nt
Organism: Musa acuminata subsp. malaccensis (wild Malaysian banana)
Lineage: Eukaryota; Viridiplantae; Streptophyta; Magnoliopsida; Zingiberales; Musaceae
Source: RefSeq, a predicted model, not a curated record
GUAUGUACCAUAUCAACAGUUAGUCGAUACACCGGCAUGGACCGGUAAGGUGGACCAUGAUAUGCACUAUAUUAUCUCAUAUGUUGAUACAUCAAGCGGUUCUUCAAAGAUCACCAACACAAUGUUUUUCUCUCUUUUUUUUUAUUCUUUUAUUACAUUCAUUAUUAGAGCAAAAUCUGCACAUACAUGUAUGAUUCUUGGGAUCAAACAUGUUGCUAAGCCUUUUAUGUUCAUAGAAGUAAUUCAAGUAUUUUUGGUCAAGAGUAUAGCUCAGGUAUCAAUUGUCCUAAUGAUUGUAAAUUAUUUGUUUUUUUAUGAAUAAAUUUGAUUUCUUGUAAUCGUAAAGGGGAUUGAUUGUAAAAGGUAUUGGUUUUGACUCAUUCGGUACUGCAACAUCCAAAGAAAAAGGUAGUACGAUCAUACGGGAUUCUUGAAUAGUUUCCUCCUUGCCAAAGAAUCGAGCAUAUGGCGUAAGGGCGACCCUUAUCGGCGACCCUCCCCAAAGCUAUGUUGCUCUCUCCCUCGGCAUUGCUAGAGGGGGAGGAGAUGCCGGCCUUCGUCAGCCUUCUUUCAAACGGCAAAAUUUUAUCACCAAGAAGGCUAAGUGUUGUGGUUGUUGCAGUGCAUGCCAACUCCUCCCCUGCUGACAUCUUUGUGCAUGCAAGCAAUUCAAAGAUUCUUUGUUGGCCUGGAGAUACCUACGUUGACCUACCAUAAGUUGACAAGCCAUUGAGAAUAUUGAUCUUCCCUCUGUGGCUUGGAGCAAAUAGGUAGAGUGAAGGUUCUCUUUUGAGAAUAUACCAAAAGAACUUAUGGAAGAAGUAUCAACAACAGCAAUAAGAACUUUCUGCUCUUCAGGUAGAUUCACAUGGAUUGACUGAAA